AAAUUGAAGAGUUUGAUCAUGGCUCAGAUUGAACGCUGGCGGCAGGCCUAACACAUGCAAGUCGAACGGUAACAGGAAGCAGCUUGCUGCUUUGCUGACGAGUGGCGGACGGGUGAGUAAUGUCUGGGAAACUGCCUGAUGGAGGGGGAUAACUACUGGAAACGGUGGCUAAUACCGCAUAACGUCGCAAGACCAAAGAGGGGGACCUUCGGGCCUCUUGCCAUCAGAUGUGCCCAGAUGGGAUUAGCUUGUUGAUGAGGUAACGGCUCACCAAGGCGACGAUCCCUAGCUGGUCUGAGAGGAUGACCAGCCACACUGGAACUGAGACACGGUCCAGACUCCUA
This 344-nucleotide ribosomal RNA is filed under the name Salmonella enterica subsp. enterica serovar Typhimurium. RNAcentral describes it as "bacterial SSU rRNA". It matches the Rfam family "Bacterial small subunit ribosomal RNA", at positions 1 to 341 of the family's 1533-position model. Lineage: Bacteria; Pseudomonadati; Pseudomonadota; Gammaproteobacteria; Enterobacterales; Enterobacteriaceae. The record is from RNAcentral.